AUGGGUUCAGAGAACAUCGGCCCCAGAGAUGUCUGCGUUGUGGGGGUCGCGCGCACCCCUAUGGGUGGUUUCCUCGGCGCCCUGUCUUCCUUGUCUGCUACCAAACUCGGCUCCGUAGCUAUCGAAGCCGCUCUGAAAAGGGCGAAUGUGGAUCCAUCCCUUGUGCAGGAGGUCUUCUUCGGCAAUGUCUUGAGUGCUAACUUGGGGCAAGCUCCCGCGAGACAGGCUGCUUUAGGUGCAGGGAUACCGAACACGGUUGUUUGCACGACAGUCAACAAAGUUUGCGCUUCUGGCAUGAAAGCAACGAUGUUUGCUGCACAGUCGAUUCAACUGGGCAGCAAUGAUAUUGUAGUGGCAGGUGGUAUGGAAAGCAUGUCGAAUGCUCCGAAAUACAUCGCUGAAGCUAGAAAAGGUUCUCGCUUCGGACAUGACAGCCUUGUUGACGGUAUGCUUAAGGACGGCCUUUGGGAUGUAUAUGGCGAUUGUGCCAUGGGAGUGUGUGCUGAGCUUUGUGCUGAUAAUCAUGCUCUGACAAGGGAAGACCAAGAUGCUUUUGCUAUUCAAAGUAAUGAGCGGGGAAUUGCUGCUCGUGAUAGUGGCGCUUUUGCAUGGGAGAUCGUUCCUGUUGAAGUUCCUGUUGGCAGAGGAAAACAACCGGUACUUGUUGAAAAAGACGAGAGCCUAGACAGGUUUGACCCAGCGAAACUGAGGAAGCUCCGCCCAAGUUUCAAGGAGAACGCUGGCACUGUUACUGCUGGGAACGCCUCUAGUAUAAGUGAUGGUGCUGCCGCAUUAGUAUUGGUGAGUGGGCAGAAGGCUCAAGAACUUGGACUGGAAGUUCUUGCAAGGAUCAAAGGAUUUGCCGAUGCAGCUCAAGCUCCCGAACUAUUUACCACCACCCCGGCACUUGCCAUACCGAAGGCUCUCUCAAAUGCUGGCUUAGAAUCUUCAUCUGUUGAUUUUUAUGAAAUUAAUGAAGCCUUUGCGGCUGUUGCACUCGCAAAUCAGAAGAUUCUUGGAAUUCCUUCAGAAAAGAUUAAUGUACAUGGGGGAGCUGUGUCUUUAGGACACCCUCUUGGAUGCAGCGGUGCUCGCAUCUUGGUCACCCUUAUUGGUGUCCUCAGGGAGAAGGGUGGCAAAAUCGGGGUCGCCGGUGUCUGCAACGGCGGAGGCGGAGCAUCCGCACUUGUUCUCGAGCUCGCGUAA
This 1206-nucleotide ribosomal RNA is filed under the name Triticum aestivum (bread wheat). Its description in RNAcentral is "partial small subunit ribosomal RNA". The record is from RNAcentral. Lineage: Eukaryota; Viridiplantae; Streptophyta; Magnoliopsida; Poales; Poaceae.